This is a small nucleolar RNA of Loxodonta africana (African savanna elephant), 237 nucleotides long. Ensembl annotates it as small nucleolar RNA SNORD17. Its record names the gene SNORD17. The record is from Ensembl. Lineage: Eukaryota; Metazoa; Chordata; Mammalia; Proboscidea; Elephantidae.
GUGAAAUGAUGAUUCAGUUUAUCCAUUCGCUGAGUGCGCUACGCUGACCUUCUUCCAGGUCUCAGUUCCUGUUCUGGGAACUUAGGCUAUGUAGCCUCCAAAUGCCCUGCGGUCUUGCUGUGUUCUACAGUGGACAGCUUGUGUGUUGGUAGACUACUGGUAAGAAUGGUUGGUGUCAGCAGAGAUGGGUCCCUCUGGGUCCCAUCUCACCGAGAUGAGUGGUGGAAAUCUGAUCAC